Molecule: non-coding RNA, 26 nt
Filed under: Mus musculus (house mouse)
Lineage: Eukaryota; Metazoa; Chordata; Mammalia; Rodentia; Muridae
Source: RNAcentral
UAGCAACUAGCAUGAUGUUAGUAGGU